Long non-coding RNA from Ruditapes philippinarum (Manila clam), 2632 nucleotides. RefSeq lists it as uncharacterized. Lineage: Eukaryota; Metazoa; Mollusca; Bivalvia; Venerida; Veneridae. The record is from RefSeq and is a predicted model, not a curated record. The transcript is spliced from 3 exons.
AUAUUUUUGAUAUUUUACUGAACAUUGAUAUGAUACUAUGUUCUUGCAAAUGUGUUAAAUUUUUGUAGUGUUUAUAAUUAUGUUUAAUUUGCCAGUUUCAUUCAGAUCUGUACCAGUAUUUGUUUAGAUAAACUGUAAAACCAGUUAUAUGUAGCUUACAGCACAUCAGAGGUUCUACUCAGGUUCCCUUAUGUUCCUGAAAUAAUGUAUCUACAUUUAAGCCUGUUUGUGCCUGAAAUAAAGUACAGAGUGGCACCUGAGGUCUAUCUCAACCAGUUAAGCUGGAAAGUUGUCAUAUGACAUACAGUGUUGGUGCGACAUAAAAACCCAACAAAAAACAAAACAAAUGUAGAUAUGCAUCUAUAGAAGAAUAGCAAAUAGAUCUUAAGGUGUCAUUUAGUUACAAUGUGUAAAUUUUGCUAGAACCUGUUCUAUUUUGAGAAACAUUUAGGAACAAAGUCAAGUAUUUCUUAGUUAUUUUGAAACAGAAAAUGGACUUUGUAUUUUUAUUAUGCAUAGAAAGUAUCAUAUGUAUGUUUUAUCAUAGAUAAAAAUAGACUGAUAAUAUGCCGUUAGAAGUCUAUAGAAAAUAAGUUAAAUAACUGAUUUGUUUUGGAUAAAAUGUAUUUUGUAUUUGUUGUAAGAUGAUGUUUAUGUAGUAUGAAAGUACAUUUUGGAAAUAAUAGACUUUUUUGUGUUUUGUUAUAUUUACACAAUGUAGAAAGUAUGUGAUAAUUAAAAACUCAUUUGGAAUGAAAUAUCAUAGUGAAAAUGAAUAAUUAUUAUUAGUAGGUCAGUGGUUGAAAUAUACAGUACUAGAUAUAUUUAUGAAAGAAGAUACUGCACUACAAAGGGAAGAUAAUUCAACUGUUUCCAAUUUUUUUAUGCAUCUUGUUUGUCAAGUACAGAAAAGGUUAAGAUAUUUAGGACAACUCACUCUGAACCUGCCUGAUUUUAUGUAAUGGAUUUGCCUUGUUAUGAAUUUAGAAAAGUCCACUCAUAGUUUAAGGUAUUUUAAUAUCAAGAUAAAAAAUGGGCUAGCAACAGUACAUAGCCUAAUCAGGCUGCACAGAUUUGUAGGAUGUUUUGGUUCAAUACAGAUGCCUUAGUCUGAUCAUUUUUUGUUUACUGCCUAAUUGAUCAUGUGCCAAUGUUCAUAGAAGAAAAAGUUUUUCUCUAAAGUAGGACAUGUGUAUGUUUUACUGUAUAUAACUUGUAAGUGACUGAAAUGUUUUUAACCCUUAACCUGCUGAAUAGACUUGCCUAUCUUUGAAAUUGGAACAGUCCGUUCAAAGUUUAAGGGUUUCAGUAUCAAAAUACAAAAAAUUAAGCAACCACCAGUAAAGAGUCUGGUCAGAUAGGUGGGCCUGGCUCCAUACUGAUGGCAAAGGCUAGGCAAGAAGGUUCCAGCAAGUUAAGGGUUAACUGCAGCUUAAAUUCGAAACAGUUCUAGUUUGUUCUUUCUAAUGCAGACUUACUGUCAGAUAAUAACAAAGGUAAAUAUGAUUAAAUUUAGUUCUAUUGUUUGUAGACUAUAUCAUUAUGUUAAUUUUUAAUGAGUAGAUAUCUUUAGUUUUUGUAUGAUAUAUAAAGUAUUUUAUAGGUGGUGGUAGUUCAGUUGAGUAAGAUAAUGUAAAAAUUGAGAUUUUCAAUUACAAUAAAAAUAUGUAGACAAUACCUGGUGAUAGCUGUCUCUGAUUUAUGAGUUCCGACCCAAUCUAAGCUUGCAGUCGCAUUUGAAAUGUUUACAAAAUAUUUGUACAUUUGUACUUAAUUAACCACGAAGGGAUUAUAAAAGUAAUGUGAUUUAUAUCUUAUCUAAAUAUGAUUCUAAUUCAUUGUUAAGAAGUCAGUUUUGCAUCAAAUCAUAUGAUUUUACUGUUAUAGUCAAGAAUUUUUGAUAUACAUAGUAGAGUUUAUAUAUUAGUAUACAUGUUCUUCAUAUUCUUUACAGGUAGUUGAAAACCCUGUCGGCAAACAAUGUGUUGGCACAGAUGGUACAUAGAAUCAUUUGAAUCUCUAAAAGACUGUUGACAACGUGGUGCAAAAGAUGUCAACAUAACCUGUCCAAUAGAGCAAUUUACAGACCAAUAAUGCCUUCAAAGGGUCUCUUUCGGAGUAAAUUCAGCAAAAUAUUGGAAGUAGAAGGUCCUGCAUGAUGUUGUAGUGCGUUGUUUUCUGGAACAGAUUCAAUGGUCUACGGUGAAGAUUUACCAGUUUGCUAUCAACUUACAAUACAAUUUAAAAGGAUAAACACCAUUGUGCUAUUUGAUAAUGGGAAUAAGUCGACAUUUUUAUUGUGUAGACAAUAAAAAUACCAGCUUUUAAUCACGUGCAUAAAAAUUGUAUUUUGUUGAUAAUUUCUUUGGUCUAUAGUGAAGUCUCUGACUAUUAUCGGAAUAUUCUUUAUUUAUUACAUUGUCAAUUGAGCGGAUAUGCUUCUAUCAACUAGCUUUUAUCUGAAUAUUAUCUAAUAAAGAUUUGUUCCGCGUAGAUAGGAGAAAGUAGCUAAUAUACAGAGAGACGCUGUUUAAAAAUAGUUGCCAAUGGUUGACAAAUCAAACAUAAACUGUUCUUGACACAGCUUUCAAGUUAUCAUUACAUUGCACUGAAAGAAUUGCAAAUAAAAAGG